RNAcentral lists this ribosomal RNA (249 nucleotides) under uncultured bacterium. RNAcentral describes it as "partial 16S ribosomal RNA". It matches the Rfam family "Bacterial small subunit ribosomal RNA", at positions 15 to 257 of the family's 1533-position model. The record is from RNAcentral.
GAUCAUGGCUCAGGACGAACGCUGGCGGCGCGCCUAACACAUGCAAGUCGAACGGGGAAGAGGAGAGCUUGCUUUUCUCUUUCUAGUGGCGGACGGGUGAGUAACACGUGAGCAACCUGCCUUUCAGAGGGGGAUAACGUUUGGAAACGAACGCUAAUACCGCAUGACAUCGCUGAGGGACAUCCCUUGGGGAUCAAAGGAGGAAUCCGCUGAAAGAUGGGCUCGCGCCCGAUUAGAUAGUUGGCGGGG